This 444-nucleotide ribosomal RNA is filed under the name uncultured bacterium. RNAcentral describes it as "SSU rRNA". It matches the Rfam family "Bacterial small subunit ribosomal RNA", at positions 26 to 518 of the family's 1533-position model. The record is from RNAcentral.
AGAACGAACGCUGGCGGCAGGCCUCAAACAUGCAAGUCUAGGGGGUGUAGCAAUACAUCACCGGCGGACGGGUGCGUAACGCGUGGGAAUGUACCUAUUGGUUCGGAACAACUGAGGGAAACUUCAGCUAAUACCGGAUGAGCCCGCAAGGGGAAAGAUUUCUCGCCAAUAGAUCAGCCCGCGUCCGAUUAGCUAGUUGGUGGGGUUAAAGCCUACCAAGGCAACGAUCGGUAGCUGUUCUGAGAGGAAGAUCAGCCACACUGGGACUGAGACACGGCCCAGACUCCUACGGGAGGCAGCAGUUGGGAAUCUGGACAAUGGGGAACCCUGAUCCAGCCAUGCCGCGUGAGUGAUGAAGGCCUUCGGGUUGUAAAACUCUUUCGACGGGACGAUAAUGACGGUACCCGUAGAAGAAGCUCCGGCUAACUUCGUGCCAGCAGCCGC